UACGAAGGGGGCUAGCGUUGUUCGGAAUUACUGGGCGUAAAGCGCGCGUAGGCGGUGUGCAUAGUCAGGGGUGAAAUCCCGGGGCUCAACCUCGGAAUUGCCUUUGAUACUGGCACGCUUGAAUCCGUGAGAGGGUGGUGGAAUGACCAGUGUAGAGGUGAAAUUCGUAGAUAUUGGUCGGAACACCAGUGGCGAAGGCGGCCACCUGGCGCGGUAUUGACGCUGAGGCGCGAAAGCGUGGGGAGCAAACAGG
This 253-nucleotide ribosomal RNA is filed under the name uncultured bacterium. RNAcentral describes it as "partial 16S ribosomal RNA". It matches the Rfam family "Bacterial small subunit ribosomal RNA", at positions 524 to 776 of the family's 1533-position model. The record is from RNAcentral.